RNAcentral lists this ribosomal RNA (468 nucleotides) under uncultured bacterium. RNAcentral describes it as "partial 16S ribosomal RNA". It matches the Rfam family "Bacterial small subunit ribosomal RNA", at positions 28 to 507 of the family's 1533-position model. The record is from RNAcentral.
GACGAACGCUGGCGGCGUGCUUAACACAUGCAAGUCGAACGGAAAGGCCCUGCUUUUUUGGGGUGCUCGAGUGGCGAACGGGUGAGUAACACGUGAGUAACCUGCCCUUGACUUUGGGAUAACUUCAGGAAACUGGGGCUAAUACCUGAUAGGAGCUCCUUCUGCAUGGUGGGGGUUGGAAAGUUUCGGCGGUUGGGGAUGGACUCGCGGCUUAUCAGCUUUUUGGUGGGGUAGUGGCUUACCAAGGCUUUGACGGGUAGCCGGCCUGUGAGGGUGACCGGCGACAAUAGGACUAAGGUACGGCGCAGACGCCUACGGGAGGAAGCAGUGGGGAGUAUUACAGAACGGGGGGAAGCAUGAUGAAGCAACGACGCGUGCGGGAUGACGGCCUUCGGGUUGUAAACCGCUUUCGCCUGUGACGAAGCGUGAGUGACGGUAAUGGGUAAAGAAGCACCGGCUAACUACGUG